CAACCCAUUUCCAGAAGGGUCUGAAAGAACGGACUGCGCAUGACAACUAAUUUACAUAGAAAGUGAGAAACCCAUCUUCGGGGCGGGGAAACCUGCCUAUAAAAUGUCCCGAAGCCCAGGCAGCAUCCCCAGAACCUUGGACAUCUCAUCAACUGGACUACCACAGCUGCCACGACUCUGAAACCAGGAUCAACAUCCCAUCAAAUAGAUCGGCGCUGAAACCAGGAUCGGCAUUCCAUCAGCUGGAUCGGCACUGAAACCGGGAUCGACAUCCCGUCACCUGGAUUGGCGCUGGAACCAGGGCUGAACUGGUAACUCAAAUUCAGAGAGCAUCCUGCUUUGUGGAGGACAAUUCUAAUUGCAGGAGACCACCCUGCUCCCCAGAAAAGGAAUUGUGUCAACACAUCCCUGCUGAAGCUCAAGUUAACCACUGAAGGACAGCUUAUCCUCCUCGCAGGUGCAAUUAUUGUCAGCACGAACCAAACUUGCUUCACACAUGAGCAAACUUGACCCACAGAGGGGAGACACUCAUUUCUUUUAUUUAUGCUAAGCAGUAUGAUACCCACAGUACAUUCUACACCUUAGAUGUUUAUCAGCUGUGGCAGCAAUUAUAAAAGAGUUCAAAGCAAUUUGUCCUCUGAAAUUCAAAAGGUAACCUGGAAUAACCCAGCUAAAUUUGGAAGGAAAUUCCACUGCUGGUGUUAACUAGGUAAUUUCUCUUAAGACCUCACUAACAGUAAAGCCACAGGUUUUGUUUCAGCAAUAGAAAAUCCUUUGGUAAAUACCAUAAACCCAAUCAUUGUGCCAGGAUUAAAUCACAGCAGAAGUAUACCCUGUCCCCUGGAGCAUGGAGUGUGGCCUGAUGGAAUGGAUGGGAAUUCAUCCUGAAUGAGAACCCCUUGUUAUUUUGUACUUGUAGACAGCCUUACUGUAGAUACAAGUAAUCAAUCUAACACUUGUGUUCAUUAAUUAGUUCAAAGUAAGGGUCACAGUUUUAAUUAUUGAGCUCUGGUUACCUCUUCCUAUUGCUGAAAUCUGACUACAUUUUGUUCCCAGUCUAACAACCUGUUCCUUGUUGGCGUGAUCCUCAUGUUGGUAAAGAAGCUGCCACAAGACAAGCUAAGACAGCUGUUGAAGCAAGAACAAGACAAGGGAAAAAAGAUUUUGACUCUGUUCAUCAUGAUGUGAAAGGCAUCCACUGAGUGAUGGAACAAGUGAACAUAGACGGGGAACCCCAAUGGUGGGCCAUUUCUUUUGAGUCACUGCCAACAGUAGUGGGGAUUUUUAACAAAAUGUUGCACCUUUUGCUUGUCUUCUUAAUGUUAAUCAUUUUGCUUUUCAUUUUGGUGAUCGGUUUGCACAUUAUGUAGAAAUAUAGAUUACCCCCAACGCUUAGAGACAGCUUAGAGAUUGUAUUUGUCCCUCUAUUCUUCUGUCCCUCUCCCUCUCUCUCUUCUUUUUUCCGUUUCCAUGGAUCACCACAUCCAUACCAAAGUUUGAGCCAUAGGGUGUAGUGUAGAGGCACCCACCAGUUUGCUGUUCCAGUACAGAACGUGCCAUUUUUUUUUCAGAAGGCGACAGUGAUGGGCCUCAGGGCGCUGAGGCUAAAGCUUAUGGGUUGAGUUUCCUGCAGCCAGUUCCCACCAGAUGCUGUUUCGUCAAGGCUCUCUGACCCUGCCAGGUCUCCCAGAAUCAGGGAGUAGUUGUGGGGGUUAUCAGGUGCGCAGUGCUCCGCAUGGACACGCACCCGGCACACGGAGCAGCUGUGGGAUGAGCAGUUGGUAAGCCCAGCACACGUGCAUUGCAGCAGCUCCAGCACCUUCUCCUCCUGCAUCACGGACAUCCAGAUGAUGUUGUGCGCACGGAGCUUGCUGCUGCCCAGGCUGGUCCAUCAGAUUUCCUGCUGAAUUCCACAUUUCUCCUUUCCCAGCAUCAUAUCCCACAGAGGUUCGUUGUAGAAUUCCAGGAAACUGGAAGAAAAAGCUUCCCAUCUGGCCUUAGGUGAAGAUGCGUGUCUGUCCAGGGUCACCUGGAUGAGCAGCUGAAUCUUCUGGUAAGCUGUGGGUGGGAACACAUUGAAGCUGAAGUUGUAGUGGAGCUCUGGGCUCCACUCCCAACCCACGUGGGACUCCUUUGGGCCACUUCAGCAGUAAUGUCCGGGUCUCUUGGAGGGUGAAGUGCAGGUGCUGCAGCCCCUGCUGCCACUCAGACUCCUUUGGAACCCCUGGCAGCAGAACACAGGGAUAUUCCUCUUGAGAUCCUGGAUAAGGUUUUAGAAGUGCCACUCUUUCUGCUCUUCCAGGAGGGUUUUCUGGGACAUUUCCAGGACCCAGAGCCUAGCCACAUGGUCCACAUGAAUCCACAGAUGCUCUUUCAUCUGGCUCAGACGGGCCUUCAUGAUUCUCAGCUGCUCCUUCAGCACCCGCUCCCAGCCUUUGGCCCCAUCAUGCUCCCACCACCACUGCUCCUCUUCCUACAGCCACCACUUUUCAUCGGCCAAAACCUCAGUCUUUCACCGGCUCUGCUCCAUCUCCGUCUGAAAUUCCGACAGCUCCAACUCUAUGGACUGCACCCAGAGACUGAAGUCGUUCCCCUGGCAUUCCUGCCCCUGUUUCUCCCUCUGGAGCCCCUCCAGGCACUGCCACAUCUCCCAGUUCCUGGUCUCCUACCCCCACUUCUCCAUCUCCGGGUCCCGGAGCCAUCCACAGACCCUCCAGAGGAACCCUCACAAAUCGCCAGUUUGGCUCUGCAAGUCCCAGAGGGCUCGAUGGAGGGUGCCAGAAAGGAGAAGAAUUAGAACAGAGCAGAAUUAGAGCAGUCUGAAGGCAGCCGUUCAUACAGAUGUUUUCUAAAUUUUAGUAACAGGCCAUGUUUUUUAAUAUGGGACCCAGCAGCCUUACUGCUCUGUCAGAUAAACUGGUGGUAAGUAGCCAUGCUGAAACAACUCCACAUCUGCCCGACUGCGAACAUCUUGACUUGCAAAAUGUACACAAAUUGUCUACUUGGAAACAUUUUGUGUAAACUGAAUAUAAGGGAGGGAGUGUCUUUACCAUAUGAGCAAGAAACUGUUCUAAGAAGAGAACCCAUGCUGUUACGUCAUGUUAGGUACUGCCUGCCAUUUAUUUACCUCCUUGCUGGCAAAUAUUCACUCAUCCAGUUGAACACAUGACUUUGUGUUCACAUCAAAAAUUUCUCUGUUUAAGCAUUUUUUCCACAUAAAUAUCUUUUCCACUGCAAGAAUGUCAAAUAUGCCUUUGUAACUAUAUAUAUAUAUAUAUAUAUAUGUAUAUUCUUUAUUUCUGCAAGUGCAUUGUGAGAAAAAACUUUGAAGAUAGUCUGGGUAAGCAGGUUGCAUUGCCGUUAAAAGUGAGGCCCCCAGAUGAAUUUAGACUGUUAACUUGCCUUAAAAAACAGAGGUUCCUUUUUUUCCCUCAUUAUUUUAGCAAACCAAACUUAUGAGUCUGGCCUUUUCAAAGAGGGAGGACUUGCAGCAAUUGCAGCAUUUUUUUCUUCUGCUGUCUGUGGAAGUAGAAGUUGUGUAAAAAGAGUGAGUUGAGUUUGUUUCCAAGUGACCUCUGUGGUGGUCUACCUCCACCCUAGGCUGGACUGUGACCUGACAAAUGCACAUUAGGCUUAUAGAAAUAAGCAAUUACCCAAUAUUAGGGGAUGUGACUUUAAUUAUUCAGCUCCUGUCACAAUACAGUAAUUACUAGAAUCUACCUACACAUACUAUUGAGAUUCACUGCCCAACCCCUUCGGGAUGAACCGUGCACUAGUGAAAAAAUUACUGCAGCAAGAUGACCUGUGUCGACUGCUGGAAUGCGUCCGAAGCAAUGGACACAGAACCCUAAUCACUGUUCAUUGCGGUACAGAAAUGACACAUAGCACAGAAAUGAUCGCAGAAAGAGUGAUGAGAAAUGGAGACCACCACUAGUGGGACAUUUGAUUUGGGUAGUCAUCAACUGCAACAGGAAUUCAAGGCACAAUGUUGCACUUUAUUGGAAUUUUUCUGGUUUAUGUUGUAUUAUUCUUGUUGUUGAAUAUAGUUCUGUAUAUUAGAGUGUGUAUACUAGCUAGAUACAUAACGCUGUGGCACAGACCUCCUCACUUAUAAUGUUGUUUUAUCACAUUCAAAGCAAUCUUAAAAAAACUUUAUUUAGGUAACCGGAUCAAGAAUUUCCAUCCGUUUAAAACUGGAGCACGAUAAAUCUUUGUUUAUAGGCACAGAGGCAAGAGGUGACCAGACCACCAAUCUGUCAGUUCCCAGGAAUGUGACUGUCUAAUGAGCUCCAGUUUGUUAACUAACAGCCUUGGAAAUCUAUCUUUCUGGCCUGAAAAGCAGCCCAGAUGGGACAACAUCUUUAUUACUGAACUUUCAAAGAAAGUUACCAACCUGAAUUGGGGCCAGGAUGGAAAAUUACUAGGAUUGAAGCCCAUUCUCUUUGACAUUAUAAACAUCGGUCCAAAGUGAGACCCUCUGAGCUCUCCUGGACCACAGGGGACUGUGCUCAGCCCCUCCCUCUGGGUGAGGCCUCUCAGAGCCAGAGAACUUUCAAGCUUGCCAAAUUUGGAGGACAAAAAACAAUGGCGAAUCCUGAGCUCAUAUCCCCACUCCUCAAGGCUCAACCCUGAGCCCACUGAAAAGAUGCAAAGGCAUUCAAAGUGACUACUUAACUGAAUUAAAGGGGAUUUUUUCACAGGUAUACCUUGAACAGGCUUUUAAUAUUUGUGUGCAUACAAAUGUGAAAAUGCUGGAGCAAAUGUACAAGCACUGUUGUUCUAGCUUCUUAAGUAUUUUAGAUUUGUAAGUUAGGCCUGUGAGUAAGUUACUACUGUGUUAUAGUAAAUUCUAUAUGAAUACAUUGCUAAGUAGUUUAAGUUAAAUUAUCUACUGCAUGCUGUUACAUGUUAAGUACUGUUAAGGUUAAGUGCUGUUAAGUUUCAGUUCUGUUAAGUGCUGUUAGGUUUAAGUGCUGUUAAGUUUAAUUUCUGUUAAGUUUGUUAUUAAAUUUAAGUGAUGUUAGGUUUAUGUUCUGUUAAUUUUAAGUUCUUUCAUGUUUAAGUUCUGUUACAUUUAAGUUCUGUUACGUUUAAGUUCUGUUAAGUUUACGUGAUGUUAAGGUUAAUUUCUGUUAAGUUCUUUUAAGUUUAAUUUCUGUUAAGUUUAAGUGUUGUUAAGUUUAAGCAAAGCUAAGUUUAAGUGAUGUUAAUUUUAAGUUCUGUUAAGUUUAAGUUCUGUAAAAUUUAAGUGAUAAGGUUAAGUUGUGUAAAGUUUAAGUAAUGUUAAGGUUAAUUCGUGUUAAGUGUUGUUAAGUUUAAGCAAAGUUAAGUGAAGUUAAUUUUAAGUUCUGCUAAGUUUAAGUUCUGUAAAGUUUAAGUGAUGUUAGGGUUAAGUUCUGUUAAGUUUAAGUGAUGCUAAGGUUAAGUACUGCUGGGUAUUUGGCAUAAACUGUUGGCCCAGUCUGGGCCCAGUUUAAUAUGGGGAUAUACUCUGACCCUUGUGACCCAACACAAGGGGCUUGCACAUUUCUUUUCAUCCUUACCCCUUCCUAUCCUUUUCUCUUCCCAUUCCCUUCCACACCCCCUCCCCAUCCUCCCACCCCCGUCACCCCCCCCUCCCCUGCCCCUUGCUAGCCUUCGCAUAGGUAGUUUUUAGAUUGAUUUUGGAUUUUUCUUUGCUUUUUCUCUCUGCUUUAACCAUCUAGUAGGCUGUAGAGCAAACAUUGCCAACAUGCUUUCUCAUCCUUUCACUUGAAUAAUAAACCUGCUUUAGCAAAUA
Long non-coding RNA from Corvus hawaiiensis (hawaiian crow), 5779 nucleotides. RefSeq lists it as uncharacterized. NCBI's taxonomy places the organism in Eukaryota, Metazoa, Chordata, Aves, Passeriformes, Corvidae. The transcript has 3 exons. The record is from RefSeq and is a predicted model, not a curated record.